UACGUAGGGUGCGAGCGUUGUCCGGAAUUACUGGGCGUAAAGGGCUCGUAGGUGGCCAACUAAGUCAGACGUGAAAUCCCUCGGCUUAACCGGGGAACUGCGUCUGAUACUGGAUGGCUUGAGUUCGGGAGAGGGAUGCGGAAUUCCAGGUGUAGCGGUGAAAUGCGUAGAUAUCUGGAGGAACACCGGUGGCGAAGGCGGCAUCCUGGACCAUUACUGACACUGAAACGCGAAAGCCAGGGGAGCAAACGGG
Molecule: ribosomal RNA, 253 nt
Filed under: uncultured bacterium
Lineage: Bacteria
Description: partial 16S ribosomal RNA
Rfam family: Bacterial small subunit ribosomal RNA
Source: RNAcentral